Molecule: RNA transcript, 9670 nt
Organism: Arachis duranensis
Lineage: Eukaryota; Viridiplantae; Streptophyta; Magnoliopsida; Fabales; Fabaceae
Gene name: BEACH domain-containing protein C2
Exons: 33
Source: RefSeq, a predicted model, not a curated record
AGACCCGACAUGAAUCACCACACGCGAAUAUAGCUUAGCUGCCUCCAAACACUCAACGACAUCACCAACCUCCAUAUCCCGUUGAUUCUUACACACUCUUCUUCUCUUCUUUUCUCUUUUUUUUCACUGUCUCUCGCAACUUCGCCUUUUCCUCUUCUCCGAUUUUCUCUCUACUUUCUCUCGCUGCAUUUUCUCCGCCAUUUCCAUUUUCCACUCAUCAAAUCUCGGUAUCGGUGUUUCCGCGAUUCAAUCACUGAGCUGGAACAUUCUAAAAGGUAGUUUGGCUUUUGUAAUUUGAAUGAAUACCUUUUAGCUUCAUCAGAAAUUGCAUAAUGGAAGAUGAGGAAGAACUGAAAGAGGUGAAAUUGUCUGGUAAUGGAUUACAUCCUCACGAAGUAGUAGAUAGUGGUGAAAAAGAGUUUGUUGAUGGUCGUGAUCAGGAAAAUGUGAUUGCUACCCAUAGUAUUAAGGUUGAUGAUGUAGAUGGAAGGGUAGGCUUGCAAGGUCAAAGUACCGUUUCUGCACCCACAUUAAUGGAUGAGGACCAGUUUGAGGAAGUAUCUUUGAAAGAUCAAGACAAGAGUAAUGAGUACCAGGAUUCAAACCAAUUACCAGAUUUUGAUAAUGCACAUCACCUAUUUGGUGGAAAUGUGGAGGAGUCUAAAUCUUCAUCUGGGACGUACUCGAUAGAGCAUGAUUCCUCCCCUGUUGCUGAAAUGCAACGUGAUAAUAUUCCUUAUAGUCCUGGGUCAGAUGGGCAGUCUAGCCCAACAAUUAGCUUUGAUUCUACUACUGUUAAUUCUCCACCAAAGCCUAAGCAAAAACAUGCUAAACCAAAUGUAUCUCCAGAACUGCUGCAUUUAGUUGAUUCUGCUAUUAUGGGAAAACCUGAAGGUGUGGAUAAGCUGAAAAAUAUUGCAAGUGGCUCAGAAGUGUUUGGGACUGGUGAAGAAACGGAAAAUGUGGCUUUCUUAAUAGUGGAUUCGCUUCUUGCAGCCAUGGGUGGCGUUGAAAGUUUUGAGGAGGAUGAAGAUAAUAACCCUCCUAGUGUUAUGCUGAACUCCCGGGCUGCCAUUGUUGCAGGUGAACUUAUUCCUUGCCUUCCUUAUGUAGGUGAUUCUGGUGAUUUUAUGUCACCUAGGACACGGAUGGUUCGGGGAUUACUUGCCAUAUUACGGGCUUGCACAAGAAACAGGGCAAUGUGCUCAAUGGCUGGUCUGUUAGGAGUGUUGUUGAGAACCGCAGAAAACAUAUUUACUGUGGAUGCUGGCUUAAAUGGACGGAUGAGGUGGGAUGGAACACCUUUGUGCCACUGCAUGCAAUACUUGGCUGGUCAUUCUCUUAGUGUUAUUGAUCUUCAUAGUUGGCUUCAAAUCAUUACAAAAACACUUGACACAAUGUGGGCACCACGAUUAAUGCUUGCUUUGGAGAAAGCAGCUAGUGGAAAGGAGUCAAGAGGACCGGCUUGCACGUUUGAAUUUGAUGGUGAAAGUUCUGGUUUACUUGGUCCAGGCGAGAGCCGCUGGCCAUUUAUCAAUGGUUAUGCUUUUGCAACAUGGAUUUACAUUGAAUCGUUUGCCGACACAUUAAAUACAGCUACUGUUGCUGCUGCAAUUGCUGCAGCUGCGGCGGCUAAGUCAGGUAAAUCAUCAGCUAUGUCAGCCGCUGCUGCUGCUAGUGCACUUGCUGGUGAGGGUACAGCACACAUGCCACGUCUAUUCAGUUUUUUAACUGGUGAUAACCAGGGUAUAGAGGCUUAUUUUCAUGCUCAAUUUUUGGUUGUUGAAACUGCUAGUGGAAGGGGAAAGAAAUCAUCCUUGCACUUUACCUAUGCAUUCAAACCACAAUGCUGGUACUUCAUUGGUCUUGAACAUAUAGGCAAGCAGGGUAUUCUCGGGAAAACAGAAAGUGAAGUUAGGUUAUAUGUGGAUGGAUCUUUAUAUGAAAGUCGUCCUUUUGAGUUUCCUCGAAUUUCAAAACCUCUUGCAUUUUGCUGCAUAGGAACUAACCCUCCUCCUACCAUGGCUGGGUUGCAACGGCGCCGUCGUCAGUGCCCUUUGUUUGCUGAGAUGGGCCCUGUUUACAUCUUCAAGGAACCUAUUGGCUCAGAAAGAAUGGCACGCCUAGCUUCUAGGGGAGGGGAUAUAGUGCCUUCUUUUGGUAAUGCAGCUGGUUUACCCUGGCUAGCAACAAACGCCCAUGUGCAGAGCAGGGCAGAGGAAAGUGCUCUUUUGGAUUCAGAAAUUGGAGGUUGCAUUCACCUGCUCUAUCAUCCUAGUUUGCUUAGUGGGCGCUUCUGUCCUGAUGCUUCACCUUCUGGUGCUGCAGGAAUGCUUCGACGUCCGGCCGAGGUUCUUGGGCAAGUUCAUGUUGCUACUCGAAUGCGACCUGUGGAUGCCUUGUGGGCAAUGGCCUAUGGUGGUCCCUUGUCUUUGCUUCCCUUGACAAUAAGCAAUGUACAUGAGGAUACAUUGGAGCCUCAGCCAGGGAAGUCUCCCCCUUCUUUAGCCGCAUCUCUUGCUGCCCCAAUAUUUCGAAUUAUAUCUGUGGCUAUCCAAUAUCCAAGGAACAAUGAGGAAUUGUCUCGUAGCAGAGGGCCUGAGAUUCUUUCAAAAAUUUUGAAUUAUCUUCUCCAAAUCUUAUCUUCGCUUGAUGGUAGAAAGCAUGAUGGUGUUGAAGAUGAGGAACUUGUUGCUGCUGUUGUCUCCGUUUGUCAAUCUCCAAAGAUCAACCAUACACUUAAAGUUCAGCUGUUCACUACGCUACUUUUAGAUUUACAAAUUUGGAGUUUGUGCAGUUAUGGUAUACAAAAGAAGCUUCUAUCAUCACUUGCAGACAUGGUUUUCACCGAGUCAUCAGUAAUGAGAGAUGCAAAUGCCAUUCAAAUGCUUCUUGAUGGCUGCAGAAGAUGUUAUUGGACUGUUUCUGAAAUUAAUUCAUUGAAUACUUUCUCUCUGACUGGGGCAGCGCGUCCCGUGGGUGAAAUCAAUGCUUUGGUUGAUGAGCUCUUGGUGGUAAUUGAACUAUUAAUUGUGGCAGCAUCACCUUCGUUGGCCUCGGAUGAUGUCCGAUGUUUACUUGGGUUUAUGAUUGAGUGUCCGCAACCUAAUCAGGUUGCUAGGGUGUUGCAUCUCUUCUACAGGCUGGUUGUCCAGCCAAACACUUCUAGAGCUCACACAUUUGCAGAAGCAUUCCUGGCAUGUGGUGGGCUUGAAACUCUUCUUGUUAUUCUCCAAAGUGAAGCCAAAGCUGGAGAUGGUGGUCUCAUAGGAACAUCAUCAAAGAACCCUGAAAUUCAAAAAACAGAGUUUAGUGUUGAGAUUGCAGAAGAAAGUCAGGAAGAGGGAGUAGUGGAGGACAACAAAAGUGAGACCACCUUAAAAGAUGAUGACCAAGGUUCUCAUUCUGUUGAUGGUGGCAAUGGUCCUAAUAAUGGUUAUAGUGACAAUAAAAAGAUGACAUUUACCGCUGAAAUUCCUUCUGUCAAGAAUUUAGGAGGAAUAGGUUUAUCAAUUAGUGCAGAUAGUGCCAGAAAAAAUGUGUACAAUGUUGAUAAAAGUGAUGGCAUUGUUGUCAGAAUUAUAGGUCUAUUAGGAGCUUUAGUAGCUUCAGGACAUCUGAGAUUUGGUUCCCGUGCCGGUCCUGAUACAACAACCAACCUUUUGGGUAUUGGACUCCAUGAUGGAGGUGGUACCAUGUUUGAAGAUAAGGUUUCUCUUCUACUUUAUGCUCUACAGAAGGCUUUUCAAGCGGCACCCAAUAGGCUAAUGACCAACAAUGUGUACACAGCUCUGUUGGCUGCCUCGAUCAAUGCCUCUUCAUCAGAAGAUGGUCUAAAUUUCUAUGAUUCGGGUCAUCGCUUUGAGCACCCACAACUUCUACUGGUGCUUCUGCGAUCACUCCCAUUUGCUGCUAGGUCACUGCAGAGCAGGGCUCUACAGGAUCUUCUAUUUUUGGCUUGCAGUCAUCAUGAAAAUAGAGUCAGUUUGACAAACAUGGAGGAAUGGCCUGAGUGGAUUCUUGAAGUGCUGAUCUCAAACUAUGAGAUGAGUCCAAGCAAACUUUCUGAUUCAACAAGCAUUGGGGACAUAGAAGACCUUAUACACAAUUUCCUUAGUAUCAUGCUGGAGCACUCAAUGCGUGAAAAGGAUGGAUGGAAGGAAAUUGAAGCGACAAUUCAUUGUGCAGAAUGGCUUUCUAUUGUUGGUGGAUCCAGCAUAGGAGAACACCGAAUAAGACGUGAAGAAUCAUUGCCUAUAUUUAAGAGGAGGCUCUUGGGGGGCCUGCUGGACUUUGCUGCUAGAGAACUGCAGGUUCAGACUCAAGUUAUUGCUGCUGCUGCUGCUGGAGUUGCUGCCGAGGGUUUAUCACCUAGAGAUGCUAAGGCGGAGGCUGAGAGUGCUGCCCAACUUUCUGUAGCCUUAGUAGAGAAUGCUAUUGUGAUACUCAUGCUUGUUGAGGAUCACCUACGCUUACAGAGCAGACAAUCUUCUUCCCGUGCUGUAGCUGGUUCUCCAUCCUCCAUUUCUCAUACUUAUCCAACCAAUAAUCGCUCAAUUUCACUAUCAACAAUUGAAGAAUCAUCAGAAAUGAUGGAAGAUGGCAGAUCCUUAUCUAGUGGCUCUGCAAGAGUCCCUCUAGAUGUCCUUUCUUCAAUGGCUGAUGAAAGUGGUCAGAUCCCUACUUCAGUGAUGGAAAGGCUUGCUGCUGCAUCAGCAGCUGAGCCUUACGAAUCUGUUUCUAGUGCUUUUGUGUCAUAUGGGUCCUGUUCUAAGGAUUUGGCUGAUGGCUGGAAAUAUAGGAGUCGAUUAUGGUAUGGUGUUGGACUUCCGCCAAAUACAGUUCCAUUUGGUGGUGGUGGGAGUGGAUGGGACUUUUGGAAGUCUGCCUUAGAGAAAGAUGCCAACGGCAAUUGGCUUGAGCUUCCUUUGGUGAAGAAAUCCGUGGCAAUGCUCCAAGCAUUAUUGCUAGAUGAGUCUGGGCUGGGUGGUGGUCUUGGUAUUGGUGGAGGAUCAGGUACUGGAAUGGGAGGGAUGGCUGCACUAUACCAGCUUUUAGACAGCGACCAACCAUUCUUGUGCAUGCUUCGAAUGGUUCUUCUUUCAAUGAGAGAAGAUGAUGAUGGAGAAGAUCAUAUGCUGAUAAUGAAUCCAAGUAUUGCGGAUCCAGUGUCUGAAGGAAGAAAAUCACGCUCAGAACUUUUGUGGAGUGUUCUCUCUCCUGUUCUCAACAUGCCAAUAUCUGAUUCGAAGAGACAGAGAGUCUUGGUGGCAUCUUGCGUGCUUUAUUCAGAGGUAUACCAUGCUGUCAGCAGUGACAGAAAACCUCUUCGUAAAAAGUACCUUGAGGCUAUUUUACCACCAUUUGUUGCUGUGUUAAGGAGGUGGCGACCCAUUUUAGCUGGUAUACAUGAGCUUGCUACUGCUGAUGGUUUGAAUCCUCUUAUGGAAGACGGUCGUGCAUUGGCUGCUGAUUCCCUGCCAAUUGAGGCAGCUCUUGCUAUGAUAUCCCCAGCCUGGGCAGCUGCUUUUGCUUCUCCACCUGCUGCAAUGGCAUUAGCUAUGGUUGCAGCUGGUACUUCAGGUGGUGAAAGCCAAGCUCCUACAUCUGCUUCCCAUCUUAGGCGUGAUACGUCAAUGCUGGAACGGAAACAGAAUAAGCUCAAUACGUUUGCAAGCUUUCAGAAACCUGCAGAAGUCCCUAAUAAGACACCACCCCUUCCGAAGGACAAGGCUUCUGCAAAAGCUGCUGCUUUGGCAGCUGCUCGUGAUCUUGAACGAUUUGCAAAGAUUGGUUCUGGUAGAGGUCUUAGUGCUGUUGCAAUGGCUACAUCUGCACAGCGGAGGAGUGCUAGUGAUAUGGAACGGGUUAAGAGGUGGAAUAUUUCUGAAGCAAUGGGAGUUGCCUGGAUGGAAUGUUUGCAACCAGUUGAUACAAAGUCAGUGUAUGGGAAAGAUUUUAAUGCUUUUGCAUAUAAAUAUAUUGCUGUUCUUGUUGCCAGUUUGGCCCUAGCAAGGAACAUGCAACGUUCUGAGACUGACAGGCAUGCUCAUGUUGCUGUAAUUGCUCGGCAUCGAAUCACAAUUGGAGUCCGUGCAUGGCGCAAACUUAUUCACCAUUUACUUGAAACAAAGAGUCUUUUUGGGCCUUCUGCAGAUCACUUAUGCAAUCCACCUCGUGUUUUCUGGAAGCUAGAUUUCAUGGAAAGUUCAUCUAGGAUGAAAAGAUGUUUGCGGAGGAAUUACCAAGGGUCUGAUCAUUUAGGAUCUGCAGCCAAUUAUGAUGAUUCUGCUGAGGAGAGAAAUGAGCAGAACACACCAAUGUUGUCAUCAGAAGCAUUCUCACCAGAGACUGUCAAUGAAUAUGAAGAACAAGGAGAAAUAGACAAUUUGGAUGCUAGGGUUAAUGAUAUUGAAGAGAAAGGAGAAAAUGAGACUAGGUUUUCUGAAUCUGCAGAGAAGAGUGUGCAGUUAUCUUUAGAAUCUAGUUGUACACAACUUGCAAGUGAUGAACACAUUGUGCAUAGUUCUUCAGCCAUUGCACCUGGGUAUGUUCCCAGUGAGCUUGAUGAAAGAAUUGUUCUUGAGCUGCCAUCAUCAAUGGUACGGCCACUCAAAGUCGUACGGGGAAUUUUUCAAAUAACCAAUAAGAGGAUAAAUUUUAUAAUUGAUAGCAGUGAGAGCAGAACCACAAAGGACUCUGUAGAUUCCAGUUCUGAGGUGGGAGACCAAGAAAAGGAUCGUAGUUGGUUAAUGUCAUCCCUUCAUCAAAUCUAUAGUCGGAGGUACCUCCUUAGAAGAAGUGCUUUGGAGUUAUUUAUGGUGGAUCGUUCAAACUUCUUCUUUGACUUUGGGAGUAGCGAAGGGCGAAAAAAUGCUUAUCGAGCAAUUGUUCAAGCGCGGCCUCCACACUUAAACAAUAUAUAUCUGGCAACUCAGAGGCCUGAACAACUUUUAAAAAGAAUUCAACUUAUGGAGCGCUGGGCUAGAUGGGAGAUCAGCAAUUUUGAAUAUCUAAUGCAACUCAAUACACUGGCUGGGCGUAGUUAUAAUGAUAUUACCCAGUAUCCGGUCUUCCCAUGGAUUCUUUCUGAUUACAAUUCAGACAGCUUGGAUCUUUCUAACCCUUCUUCUUAUCGCGAUCUUUCAAAGCCUGUUGGGGCACUGAACCCAGAGCGUCUGGAGAGAUUUCAAGAGAGAUAUGCUAGCUUUGAUGAUCCAGUUAUUCCAAAAUUCCAUUAUGGAUCACACUACUCGAGUGCAGGAACUGUUCUGUAUUAUCUUGUUAGGGUUGAACCAUUCACUACCCUUGCAAUUCAACUGCAAGGUGGAAAGUUUGACCAUGCAGAUCGGAUGUUUUCUGAUAUUUCUGCUACUUGGAAUGGAGUUCUAGAGGACAUGAGCGAUGUGAAGGAAUUGGUUCCUGAGCUAUUUUACCUCCCUGAGGUCCUUACAAAUGAAAAUUCAAUUGAUUUCGGCACAACACAGUUGGGAGAAAAGCUUGAUACUGUAAGGCUUCCUGCCUGGGCUGAGUCUCCAAUUGAUUUUAUUCAUAAGCAUCGGAUGGCUUUGGAGAGCGAGUAUGUAUCUGCUCAUUUGCAUGAGUGGAUUGACCUUAUAUUUGGGUAUAAACAACGGGGCAAGGAAGCUGUUGCAGCAAAUAAUGUUUUCUUUUAUAUUACCUAUGAAGGGACAGUGGAUAUUGAUAAAAUCUCUGAUCCUGUACAACAACGAGCCACACAAGAUCAGAUUAGAUACUUUGGACAAACACCAUCGCAACUCCUGACUGUUCCUCACUUGAAGAAAAUGCCAUUAGCAGAAGUUUUGCAUUUGCAGACAAUAUUCCGCAACCCAAAAGAAGUCAAACCAUAUGCUGUUCCAUCACCUGACCGGUGCAAUCUUCCUGCGGCUGCCAUUCAUGCAUCUUCAGAUACAGUUGUGGUUGUUGACAUGAACGCACCAGCUGCUCAUGUUGCACAACACAAGUGGCAACCAAAUACUCCUGACGGCCAGGGUACUCCUUUCCUCUUUCAACAUGCGAAAACAACAUCAAGCUCCAGUGGUGGUACAUUUAUGCGCAUGUUCAAAGCGCCAGCUGCGUCUGGUGAAGAGUGGCAAUUCCCUCAAGCAGUGGCAUUCUCUGCAUCUGGAAUUAGAAGUCAUGCUAUCGUGUCAAUAACAUGCGACAAAGAAAUCAUUACUGGUGGGCAUGCUGAUAAUAGUAUCAGAUUAAUAUCCUCAGACAGCGCUAAAACCUUAGAAACAGCUUAUUCACAUUGUGCUCCUGUGACAUGCGUCAGUCUUUCGCCAGAUAGCAACUACUUGGUGACAGGAUCCCGGGAUACAACAGUAUUACUCUGGAGAAUACAUAGAGUACUUGUGUCUAACCCAGGUGUCAUAUCAGAACAUUCUCCCAGAACUGGUAAACCAUCUUCAACCAGUAGUGGUUCAUCAUCAAUCUUGACAGAAAAGGAUCGGAGGCAUCGUAUUGAGGGUCCUAUACAUGUGCUUCGGGGGCAUCGGAGUGAAAUACUUAGUUGUUGUGUUAAUUCAGAUAUUGGAAUAGUUGUUUCAUGCUCCCAUUCAUCAGGUGUUCUAUUGCACUCUGUAAGAAGGGGACGUCUAAUGAGAAGGCUAGAUGGUGUGCAGGCCCAUGUUGUCUGCCUUUCCUCUGAAGGGAUUGUGAUGACUUGGAAUGAGUCACAGCAUACUCUUAGUACCUUUACUCUCAAUGGUGCUCCGAUCGCAAACACACAGUUAUCUUACUUUUGCAGUGUCAGUUGCCUAGAAAUUUCUGUGGAUGGUAGGAGUGCCUUGAUGGGAAUAAAUUCUCUACCAAAUGGGGGAUCCUAUAAUAACAGCCCGGAUUUGCAGUUGACUAAGUCGGGAAUUGUCGAUUUUGAUUUAGAAUCAGAAGAAACAAAUGAAAGGAACAGAAUUGAUGUUCCAUCACCAUCGAUAUGUUUCCUAGAUAUGCACACCCUGCAGGUAUUUCAUGUGUUGAAGUUGGAAGAAGGACAGGAUCUCACAGCUGUGGCACUAAACAAGGAUAACACAAAUCUUCUAGUUUCAACUUCAAAUAAACAAUUGAUAAUCUUCACUGACCCAGCUUUAAGCUUGAAAGUGGUCGAUCAGAUGCUCAAGCUUGGCUGGGAAGGAGAUGGGCUUCGGCCUCUUAUAAAUUCAUAGCUUUUAGGAUACACACCAUUCGAUUACAGAUCUAAACAAUAUGAAUUAGGAAAAUUAGGUUGACUUUAUGAUACUCCUUUUUGUUCGUUGGUUUGUAUCCCUAUUGUUCAUAUAUCUGUAAAAUAUGUAUAACAUCCAAUUGAUACCACAAGUUUUAGUUUCUUAGAUUUAGUUGAGGUUCUUUGCUAUUACAGUUGUGCUGAAGCGUUGGAUAUUGGACAAGCUUCUGAGUUGUGACUUGAGGCAAGUUAACCGAUAAGCGUUUAUAAUGAGAUUGGAGCUUGAGGGGUUACAUAGCUAGUUAGGUCCUACUCUGCUCAUAUGACUUGUUAUUUGACCAAAAUGCUUUAGAAAAUUGUGCGCGCGUGCGCCUGUGUAUUUUGGUUUACCAAGGGGUUGAUUUAAGUUGGGUUCUGAGGGGAAUAAAGGUUAAAAAUACAAUGUGAACAUUAAAAUUAAUUAUUAUGUAUUUAUGUAUAAAA